UAGGCUGGUCAAUUAGAUUCUCUUUAUCGCGAUAUCUAAGCGGAAUUUAUAAAUGGCUCACCAGUCAUUACAAGUGUUUUUAUGCUCUGCUCGUCAACGCACGUUCAAUUGUUCCGUGAGCAUCUAGUUGCCUCGGGUGAAAAGAUCAUGUAUAUAUAGUUGUCAAGAAACANGUUGAAGGCCAACAAACGCGAUAAAAACACACUGAUCAAGACCACGAACAAAGGCACAAGGUAUCUCAAUGUUAUUACUAUCAAAAAAAGCAAUUUUUGAAAUGAAGGCGCUGUUGCUUCAUGGAAAAAGAUCAAUGACUGACACGCAUCCUCGAAAACACUUUUUGACAAAAAGUUACUACAGGGAAAACUAGAAGCUUUAGUGAAAAUCCUUUGUUGGAUUUAUUUUUUUGUUUAUUUAUUUUUUCUGCGAAUCCCAAUAUAUCAAUUUUUAGCUUUCCAAUCUUUAAACUAUGCAUACGAAAAUGAACUGAUAACAUCGACCCAGGAAUAAACCUGACGAUUUCUUUAUCAGCUUGCUCAAAGUUCUGAUGUGAAUGAAGCUGUAUUCAUUAAGUAGUGUGCGGUAUUAUUUGCUAAAAUAAACACAAAUACUGUUGUCUUUUUA
This 621-nucleotide unclassified non-coding RNA is filed under the name Exaiptasia diaphana. RNAcentral describes it as "5-hydroxytryptamine receptor 1, transcript variant X3". The record is from RNAcentral. Lineage: Eukaryota; Metazoa; Cnidaria; Anthozoa; Actiniaria; Aiptasiidae.